GACGAACCGUGCGAACGUUGUUCGGAAUCACUGGGCUUAAAGGGUGCGUAGGCGGCGCGGUAAGUCGGGUGUGAAAUCUCGGAGCUUAACUCCGAAACUGCAUUCGAUACUACCGUGCUUGAGGACUGGAGAGGAGACUGGAAUUUACGGUGUAGCGGUGAAAUGCGUAGAUAUCGUAAGGAAGACCAGUGGCGAAGGCGGGUCUCUGGACAGUUCCUGACGCUGAGGCACGAAGGUCAGGGGAGCAAACGGG
Molecule: ribosomal RNA, 253 nt
Filed under: uncultured bacterium
Lineage: Bacteria
Description: partial 16S ribosomal RNA
Rfam family: Bacterial small subunit ribosomal RNA
Source: RNAcentral